Molecule: transfer RNA, 77 nt
Filed under: Faecalibacterium prausnitzii
Lineage: Bacteria; Bacillati; Bacillota; Clostridia; Eubacteriales; Oscillospiraceae
Description: tRNA-Thr
Rfam family: tRNA
About the family: Transfer RNA (tRNA) molecules are approximately 80 nucleotides in length. Their secondary structure includes four short double-helical elements and three loops (D, anti-codon, and T loops).
Source: RNAcentral
GCUGGUGUAGCUCAAUAGGAUAGAGCAGGCGACUUGUAAACGUCAGGCUGUGGGUUCGAUCCCCACCCCCAGCACCA